This is a long non-coding RNA of Monodelphis domestica (gray short-tailed opossum), 911 nucleotides long. RefSeq lists it as uncharacterized. NCBI's taxonomy places the organism in Eukaryota, Metazoa, Chordata, Mammalia, Didelphimorphia, Didelphidae. The record is from RefSeq and is a predicted model, not a curated record.
UUAAAUCUGAAUUUUUUCAAAUUAGAUUGAUUGUUAGACUGAAGUCUAACAAAAUGAGUCUAGACACAAUUUCACAUGACAGUCCUUAAAAGAGUUGAAGACAGGUAUCAUAUUCUUCUGUAGUGAGGAAAUUGGGGUAUUGAUUAAGAUACUGAUUAAAAUAAGAUGUUUGAUAAAGAGAUCUCUGAGGGUACAAGCAAGGUAGAGAGCAGUGUGUUUGGAGACCAGAAUUUGGAAGGAAGAACACAGGAACAGAUUCUGGUCAGUUGGUGAGGUCCUCUCGCUGGGACACUCACUCACUGGGCUUCAGUGGGUAAGUUUGCUUUCUCUGGCUGCUGUAGGAGACAGACAUCUGUGACUUUACUCUUGGCUGGUGUGAGGGAAGAGAGACUUCUGAAUGCCAUCUGAAGAGGGUUUCCAUUUUCCUGAUGGAGAGAAGCUGGUAGAUCUGCAGUGUUGGAGAAGGAGAAAGAUGGAAGCUAUGUGUCUGGUCUCUGGGCAAUAUCAAGACUCAGCCCUUCACCAAGACAGGAGUAUGGCAGACCCAGAGAGGAUGACUCCUGGCUUCUGAGCAGCCAGAUCCCAGGCCUUGGUGACCUUCAAGAAUAGACUUCACCCAGGAGGAGUUGGGGUAGCUGGACCCUUUUCAGAGGAACUUCUACAUGAAUGUGAUGUUGGAGAACUAUAGGAACUUUGUCUUCCUGGGGCUUCCUAUAGCCAAACCUGAUGUGAUAAAGAGGAAAAGAACCUUGGAUGCCAGAAGAAUUCCUAAAUACAAUUUGUCCAGGGCUUCUAGUUCCUAGAGAAAAUUUUAUCUCCUGUUUUCAGCAAGGGGAAGAACCAUGGCUGCUGGAGUAAAAAGGCCCAAGGAGCUCUUAUCCUGAGGCCAAGACUGAUUUUGAAGUGAAAAA